GACGAACGCUGGCGGCGUGCUUAACACAUGCAAGUCGAACGGAAAGGCCCUGCUUGCAGGGUACUCGAGUGGCGAACGGGUGAGUAACACGUGGGUGAUCUGCCCUGCACUUCGGGAUAAGCCUGGGCAACUGGGUCUAAUACCUGAUAGGAGCCAUUAUUAGUGUGAUGGUUGGAAAGUUUUUUCGGUGUAGGGUGAGCUCGCGGCCUAUCAGCUUGUUGGUGAGGUGAUGGCCUACCAAGGCGGCGACGGGUAGCCGGCCUGAGAGGGUGGACGGCCACAUUGGGACUGAGAGACGGCCCAGACGCCUACGGGAGGCAGCAGUGGGGAAGAUUGCACAAGGGGCGCAAGCCUGAUGCAGCGACGCCGCGGGGGGGAUGACGGCCUUCGGGUUGUAAACGCCUUGCGCUAGGGACGAAGCUUUUUGUGACGGUACCUAGAGAAGAAGCACCGGCUAACUACGUG
This 465-nucleotide ribosomal RNA is filed under the name uncultured bacterium. Its description in RNAcentral is "partial 16S ribosomal RNA". It matches the Rfam family "Bacterial small subunit ribosomal RNA", at positions 28 to 507 of the family's 1533-position model. The record is from RNAcentral.